Molecule: ribosomal RNA, 707 nt
Filed under: Bacillus sp. PSu1_31
Lineage: Bacteria; Bacillati; Bacillota; Bacilli; Caryophanales; Bacillaceae
Description: bacterial SSU rRNA
Rfam family: Bacterial small subunit ribosomal RNA
Source: RNAcentral
GCAAGUCGAGCGAACCGACGGGAGCUUGCUCCCUUAGGUUAGCGGCGGACGGGUGAGUAACACGUGGGUAACCUGCCUGUAAGACUGGGAUAACUCCGGGAAACCGGGGCUAAUACCGGAUGCUUGAUUGAACCGCAUGGUUCAAUCAUAAAAGGCGGCUUCGGCUGCCGUUUACAGAUGGACCCGCGGCGCAUUAGCUAGUUGGUGAGGUAACGGCUCACCAAGGCGACGAUGCGUAGCCGACCUGAGAGGGUGAUCGGCCACACUGGGACUGAGACACGGCCCAGACUCCUACGGGAGGCAGCAGUAGGGAAUCUUCCGCAAUGGACGAAAGUCUGACGGAGCAACGCCGCGUGAGUGAUGAAGGUUUUCGGAUCGUAAAGCUCUGUUGUUAGGGAAGAACAAGUACCGUUCGAAUAGGGCGGUACCUUGACGGUACCUAACCAGAAAGCCACGGCUAACUACGUGCCAGCAGCCGCGGUAAUACGUAGGUGGCAAGCGUUGUCCGGAAUUAUUGGGCGUAAAGCGCGCGCAGGCGGUUUCUUAAGUCUGAUGUGAAAGCCCCCGGCUCAACCGGGGAGGGUCAUUGGAAACUGGGGAACUUGAGUGCAGAAGAGGAGAGUGGAAUUCCACGUGUAGCGGUGAAAUGCGUAGAGAUGUGGAGGAACACCAGUGGCGAAGGCGACUCUCUGGUCUGUAACUGACGC